RNAcentral lists this long non-coding RNA (829 nucleotides) under Ficedula albicollis (Collared flycatcher). RNAcentral describes it as "lncRNA (ENSFALG00000028585.1)". Lineage: Eukaryota; Metazoa; Chordata; Aves; Passeriformes; Muscicapidae. The record is from RNAcentral.
UUUUACACCAGGACUAAAUAAACACUCACUUACCCCUGGUACCUGCUAAUAUGUUAACAAGUAAUGUCCUCAAAGAGCCUCAUUACUUGAUUACAUCCGAGGCUGGGGACUCUGUGCUGUUGCUUUCUCCGCCUGCCGGGAUCUCACGAGCCCAGACACAUUAACUCACUUGAAUACUGAGAGAAAGUGGGAGCUUUAUCAGCCUCCAUUAUCAGCCCAGGAUAACAAAAUACAGCAUUGAAUACUGAGAGAAAGUGGGAGCUUUAUCAGCCUCCAUUAUCAACCCAGGAUAACAAAAUACAGCAUAGGGGCAUUUAUGAUCUCAUGGCUGAGGCAUUAUAACGCAAAUGUCUUAAUCCCUGCAGUUCUCAACACUGCUGUUGCCAUGUCUUUGGGUCAGUAACAUGGUGCAGGGUUAAUCAAGAAAGACAAAUACAGUAGAAACAAGGGAAGCUGGAAUCCCUGCAUCCCAUUCCUGCCUGCCCUUGUGACCAGUGUGCUCUUGGCCUGUGGAAGUCAUCCCCUCCUGCUGCAAUCUGUGCUACACACCCCUCUUCAGCACAGAUACCUAAGGGGAUCAUGGCUGAGGGUGCAUCUGUGACCCUUGUCCCUGUGUGCAGGUACCCAUCCCUGUGUGCAGGUACCCAUCCCUGUGUGCAGGUACCCAUCCCUGUGUGCAGGUACCCAUCCCUGUGUGCAGGUACCCAUCCCUGUCUGCAGGUACCCAUCUCUGAGUGCAGGCCCCCCCCCCCCCCCCCCCCCCCCCCCCCCCCCCCCCCCCCCCCCCCCCCCCCCCCCCCCCCCCCCCCCCCCCCCCCCCCCCCCCCCC